CAAUAAUUUUUAUUAGAUUUUACACAUGAAAAGCUUGCCAUUUAAAACAUGCCUGGCGACUAUAAAAGCUGAAAUGGAGAAAGAUUUUAUGUAACCAGUUUUAACGCAAUACAUGCAAUGUCAAUGUAAUGGCAAAGUCGGUUUGAUAUAAAAAUGUUCAUUGAAUAAUAAGAUUUAUCACGUAUAUAUUAUAGGAAAACUUUCUCUGUUUUAGGAGUUAUUGUUGUUCUACAUUCUUAUAAGCGGUAUAAGUCAUUGCGUUGUAAAAUACAUUAUCUGUUUCCAAUAGUCUAUACACAUCGUUCUUUACUCUAUAGCUUUACUUUUCAGACUUUUUUCUUUUUUUCUUUCCAUUUUCCUUUGCUGUUGCUGUACCAUCAUAGAAUUCCUGUGACUUGUACAGUAUCCCCUCCUUGUGUACAAAUGCGUCAGCUUUGUUUGCCCUCUGCCAUUUGUACUUUUUCCUUCGAUUCUUAACAGCGGAUUUCUCUUUGUAUUCUGCUGUGUCUAAUCUUUUCUUAUCCACUUUCUUCCAUUCCUUCACCAUAUUGUCAUCAACAUUUAACCCUAUCUUCGGCAACAACUGUGAAUAGGUAACUUCCAUGCCGCUGUUGAAUAGCAAGCAACCAAGACUGACUGCUAAACUGGUUUCACUGGGAGACGUGUACUGAUCUUUGGGAGCAAGCCCCCAAAUGACAUGAUGUAAAGACUCAUUUGGAUUUUGAGUCGCACACUUUUCACAACCAGCGAGAAAGUUUGCAUCACCCAAGCGAUC
Molecule: non-coding RNA, 775 nt
Organism: Paramuricea clavata
Lineage: Eukaryota; Metazoa; Cnidaria; Anthozoa; Malacalcyonacea; Plexauridae
Source: the annotation of a GenBank genome assembly